UGGACAGAACCAAUUAUAACCCACAAAGAAAGAGGUGUGCGGUUGUUACGGGAUCCAAUAAAGGAAUUGGAUUGGAGAUAUGUCGUCAGCUAGCUUCCAAUGGGAUAAUGGUUGUUCUAACAGCUAGAGACCAGAAAAGGGGUAUUGAAGCUGUUGAGUCUCUCAAAACAUCUGGAUUCCUUGAUAAUGUGGUUUUUCAUCAACUAGAUGUAAAGGAUCCUGCAAGUAUUGCUUCACUGGCAAGCUUUAUUGAAACCCAUUUCGGAAAACUUGAUAUCUUGGUGAACAAUGCAGGUGUGGGUGGAGCAACGUUUACAGAUCCUGAGG
This is a long non-coding RNA of Telopea speciosissima, 327 nucleotides long. RefSeq lists it as uncharacterized. The transcript has 3 exons. Lineage: Eukaryota; Viridiplantae; Streptophyta; Magnoliopsida; Proteales; Proteaceae. The record is from RefSeq and is a predicted model, not a curated record.